CCUAAUCUGGGAGGAAGCGCAGAAGCCCUGGUUCCUGUUUCUCUCUCCCUCUCUCCUCCCUCGUUUCUCCCUGUGUCCCUCUCCCCUCCCUCCUAUCUCUCACUUCUCCAUCCCCCUCACAUCCGAUGAAGGUUGAUUAUAAAGAGGGCAGUGAGCCUGUCUUUCCUAAAGUGACUGAGACUUUAGUCACAAAGGCUAGAGAGAAGAUGUGGGAGGAGAGAAUAAGAGUCCAGAGGACCAGGAAAGUUACUGAAAACUCAAGCUUUGACCACCUGCACAAGGUAUACCAAAGGUGCCCAGGGUCAGAUGGUUUGGCACCACUCCAGUCACCUCCAUCAAGCAAAAUAAGCAAGGUGCAAUCUCACUAUGUUGCCUAGGCUGGACUU
This is a long non-coding RNA of Cebus imitator (Panamanian white-faced capuchin), 386 nucleotides long. RefSeq lists it as uncharacterized. The transcript has 3 exons. Lineage: Eukaryota; Metazoa; Chordata; Mammalia; Primates; Cebidae. The record is from RefSeq and is a predicted model, not a curated record.